This 415-nucleotide ribosomal RNA is filed under the name uncultured bacterium. RNAcentral describes it as "bacterial SSU rRNA". It matches the Rfam family "Bacterial small subunit ribosomal RNA", at positions 358 to 770 of the family's 1533-position model. The record is from RNAcentral.
GGAAUAUUGGUCAAUGGACGCAAGUCUGAACCAGCCAUGCCGCGUGCAGGAUGACGGCCCUACGGGUUGUAAACUGCUUUUAUAUAGGAAGAAACCCCUCUACGGGUAGAGGGCUGACGGUACUAUAAGAAUAAGGACCGGCUCACUCCGUUCCAGCAGCCGCGGUAAUACGGAGGGUCCAAUCGUUAUCCUGAUUUAUUGGGUUUAAAGGGUACGUAGGCGGAAUUUUAAGUCAGUAGUGAAAGCCCAUCGCUUAACGAUGGAACUGCUAUUGAAACUGAAAUUCUUGAAUAUAGUUGAAGUAGGCGGAAUACGGCAUGUAGCGGUGAAAUGCAUAGAUAUGCCGUGGAACACCAAUCGCGAAGGCAGCUUACUAAGCUAUUAUUGACGCUAAUGUACGAAAGCGUGGGUAGCG